AGUGAACGCUGGCGGUAGGCCUAACACAUGCCAGUCGAACGGCAGCACAGUAAGAGCUUGCUCUUACGGGUGGCGAGUGGCGGACGGGUGAGGAAUACAUCGGAAUCUACUUUUUCGUGGGGGAUAACGUAGGGAAACUUACGCUAAUACCGCAUACGACCUACGGGUGAAAGCAGGGGAUCUUCGGACCUUGCGCGAUUGAAUGAGCCGAUGUCGGAUUAGCUAGUUGGCGGGGUAAAGGCCCACCAAGGCGACGAUCCGUAGCUGGUCUGAGAGGAUGAUCAGCCACACUGGAACUGAGACACGGUCCAGACUCCUACGGGAGGCAGCAGUAGGGAAUAUUGGACAAUGGGCGCAGGCCUGAUCCAGCCAUACCGCGUGGGUGAAGAAGGCCUUCGGGUUGUAAAGCCCUUUUGUUGGGAAAGAAAAGCAGCAGGUUAAUACCCCGCUGUUCUGACGGUACCCAAAGAAUAAGCACCGGCUAACUUCGUG
Molecule: ribosomal RNA, 492 nt
Filed under: uncultured bacterium
Lineage: Bacteria
Description: partial 16S ribosomal RNA
Rfam family: Bacterial small subunit ribosomal RNA
Source: RNAcentral